RNAcentral lists this small RNA (651 nucleotides) under Pan troglodytes (chimpanzee). RNAcentral describes it as "processed transcript". Lineage: Eukaryota; Metazoa; Chordata; Mammalia; Primates; Hominidae. The record is from RNAcentral.
ACAGGAAUUAUUGCCAUCACACUGGCGUUUUACAUAUGUCACGAAGUUCACCUAGCUGGUUUUAAAUACAACUUUUCUGACCUCAAGAGUCCUUUGCACUACUAUGGGAAUGCCACCAUGUCUUUGAUGAAUAAGAACGCGUAUCACAAUGUGACUGCAGAGCAGCUCUUUUUGAAGGACAUUAUAGAAAAAAACCUCGUAAUCAACUUGACUCAAGAUUGACUCUACAGACUCAGAAGAUGAUGCUAACAGUGAAUUACAAGAGACUUUGCAGAAGGGUAAAAAUGGUGAGAACUGAAGAGUAAUGCCAUUGUUCUAACAGUGUCGAGGAGUUCACGGCCUGAGAAUGACUCUUUUUUCACUACUGCCCCCUGUAGGGGAGCGACAUCCCUCAGAUAGAAAUGAGAUGCAAAGACCACGUGAGUUACCUGCCCGGUCCCAGUAAGGAGAAAUCAACAUCUCAUGGCAGAAGUUUCAGUGUACACUCCUGCCUUUAGUCCAACAUACAAACCAUUACAAGAGGAUGCAAUUUAUCCCUGUUUUCUUUUUUAAAGUAUGAAAGAGAGAAUUCACAAACACUAAAUCUUUCUAAAGGUACAACAUGGUAAAGGAAUGAAAGGGUCUGCAUAAAAUAAUCUAGAAAAAAAAAAA